UACGGGGGGGGCAAGCGUUGUUCGGAAUUACUGGGCGUAAAGGGCUCGUAGGCGGCCAACUAAGUCGGAUGUGAAAUCCCCAGGCUUAACCUGGGAACUGCAUCCGAUACUGGAUGGCUUGAAUCCGGGAGAGGGAUGCGGAAUUCCAGGUGUAGCGGUGAAAUGCGUAGAUAUCUGGAGGAACACCGGUGGCGAAGGCGGCAUCCUGGACCGGCAUUGACGCUGAGACACGACGGCGUGGGGAGCAAACCGG
RNAcentral lists this ribosomal RNA (253 nucleotides) under uncultured bacterium. RNAcentral describes it as "partial 16S ribosomal RNA". It matches the Rfam family "Bacterial small subunit ribosomal RNA", at positions 524 to 776 of the family's 1533-position model. The record is from RNAcentral.